RNAcentral lists this long non-coding RNA (610 nucleotides) under Homo sapiens (human). RNAcentral's name for it is "HSALNT0214046". The record is from RNAcentral. Lineage: Eukaryota; Metazoa; Chordata; Mammalia; Primates; Hominidae.
CCCAAGGACCUCACACCAUUUGGUAAUAAGGCUAUCAGGAGGAGGAGCUAUAGCCAAUCUAGCAUUCACAUUUCUCUAGUCACCUCCGGUGAAUAACAGCAAUGGAAUUUGGCAGCUACUGGAUGGACAAUUUGGCAAAGCAAAUAGUCUGGGCCAAUCCUGGUGAGAGUCUUUGCACCCCAGCUGGAAAACUUCCCUAGCUCUCAGGAAAUGAGCCAAUGCAUGAAGACUGAGAUCCAGAUUUGAUGUUGCCCGCUGAUGGAUGGUGGCAUAUAUCCUCAAAGUGACGUUCCAACAGUGAAGUGAGAUUUGCAUCUUUGAUCAAUAUCCGUUUUUUUAAUCUCUUGCCUCCUUUGGAAUAGCAGCAGGUGUUUGAAAGAUGUUUCUCUAGAUGUCAGGGUAAAGUUUAUAAGCAUGACAUGUAGGCAUUUGCUAUUGCUAAAUGAAGCCAACUGGUCCAGACAUAACCCACACCUUGGUCUACUUAGUUCCAUGCUUUGGCCAAUAACCAAAUUCAUUUUGUACCAAAUCUCAGGAAACCAUCUGUCCAAAUCAGAGGUUGCUGUACUGUAAACAUCUUCCUGUGAUCUUUGUUGAAAAUAAAAUACCA